Molecule: ribosomal RNA, 253 nt
Filed under: uncultured bacterium
Lineage: Bacteria
Description: partial 16S ribosomal RNA
Rfam family: Bacterial small subunit ribosomal RNA
Source: RNAcentral
UACAGAGGGUGCGAGCGUUGUUCGGAAUUACUGGGCGUAAAGGGCGCGUAGGCGGGAUGGCAAGUCGGUCGUGAAAUCCCUCGGCUCAACCGAGGAACGUCGAUCGAUACUGCUGUUCUUGAGGAUUGCAGAGGAGACUGGAAUUCCCGGUGUAGCGGUGAAAUGUGUAGAGAUCGGGAGGAACACCGGUGGCGAAGGCGGGUCUCUGGGCAAUUCCUGACGCUGAGGCGCGAAAGCGUGGGGAGCAAACGGG